Molecule: small RNA, 112 nt
Filed under: Burkholderiales bacterium
Lineage: Bacteria; Pseudomonadati; Pseudomonadota; Betaproteobacteria; Burkholderiales
Description: Guanidine-I sequence
Rfam family: Guanidine-I riboswitch aptamer
About the family: This family represents a conserved RNA structure found upstream of the ykkC and yxkD genes in Bacillus subtilis and related genes in other bacteria. The function of this family is unclear although it has been suggested that it may function to switch on efflux pumps and detoxification systems in response to harmful environmental molecules.
Source: RNAcentral
CUGAAUGAUCGCUAGGGUUCCGUGUCAGGCGUGGUCGCCCACCUGACGGUCUGGUCCGAGAGCAAUCGGCCACGGUGAUGUGGCUCCACGGAGGGACAAAAGCCCGGGAGAU